GGGCCCGCACAAGCGGUGGAGCAUGUGGUUUAAUUCGAAGCAACGCGAAGAACCUUACCAGUCCUUGACAUGGGUAGUUUGGUUAUUGGAGACAAUUUCCUUCAGUUCGGCUGGCUACCACACAGGUGCUGCACGGCUGUCGUCAGCUCGUGUCGUGAGAUGUUGGGUUAAGUCCCGCAACGAGCGCAACCCUCAUCUUUAGUUGCCAUCGGUUCGGCCGGGCACUCUAAAGAAACUGCCUGCGAUGAGCAGGAGGAAGGCGGGGACGACGUCAAGUCAUCAUGGCCCUUAUGGACUGGGCUACACACGUGCUACAAUGGCGGUGACAACAGGCAGCGAAGGGGUGACCUGGAGCAAAUCCUAAAAAGCCGUCCCAGUUCGGAUUGUACUCUGCAACUCGAGUACAUGAAGUUGGAAUCGCUAGUAAUCGC
This 431-nucleotide ribosomal RNA is filed under the name uncultured bacterium. Its description in RNAcentral is "bacterial SSU rRNA". It matches the Rfam family "Bacterial small subunit ribosomal RNA", at positions 917 to 1345 of the family's 1533-position model. The record is from RNAcentral.